AGUUUUCCUUCCCGCUUCUCUUCUGUUUUUUUUGUCUAUGUCCCUUCUUUUCGCGCACAAGCCUGUUUUUAAUUUCAUCGCACAAACCGAAUCGUGCAUUUUAAAAAAAGCGAGCUGGGAUUUUUUAUUGUUUUUUUCCCUUUUGGCUUCUAAGCUGCCAUGUGGAUUGGAGAUGGAGAGGUUUGUUGGUUUUCUGGGCCAAUUUUUAGGAAGUGGGGAAUUGUGCGAAGGUUCUUUUUUUCUUUCUUUCUUUCUUUCUUUUCUUCCAGCACUCCCCUCUCGUCAAGGAAAAUCCACUUGCUGCAAACAAGGGAUUGAUCUAAAGGCAGCAGAGGAAGUGUGUGUGUGUGUGUGUGUGUAUCUGGAGAAGGACGUCCCCUGUCCAAAAGAUUCAAUCAAUCACCCGAUUCUCAGGGAGAUACCGACAGAAAAAGGAAGACGACAUUUCCAAAUUGGUUACCAUCCAGCACUCCACAGAACCAUCCACCACGCUGCUCGAGGAUGAUGGGAACCGUAGUCUAAUUGUUCCACCCCUUUUGGAUCAACAGAACAAUUCACAGGGCGGGGGAAAUUGUCGCAGGCCUUAUUUAUUUAUUUGUUAAACUGAUUUGCCACCCAACUCCCCAAAACUCUGGGCAGUUCACAGGUAAAACCAAAAAUAUUUUUUUUAAAAAAACUCUGCGUUUUUAACUAUCCACACAGGACGUUUAUCCAAAUUGUUUUUUUUCCGAGAGCGAAGGUACUUGCAAAGCACAGACGCAGUUUAAUAACUGGGACCCCGGAUUUAAGAUGAAUUUGCACCCGGUCUUUGCAUUUUCACAAACCGUGCACAAGAUCUGGUUGUUUAAAGGGAAUCGGCAAUAAUAAAAAGAAAGA
This is a non-coding RNA of Pseudonaja textilis, 876 nucleotides long. The record is from RefSeq and is a predicted model, not a curated record. NCBI's taxonomy places the organism in Eukaryota, Metazoa, Chordata, Lepidosauria, Squamata, Elapidae.